CCUACGAGUGGCAGCAGUGAGGAAUAUUGGUCAAUGGAGGCAACUCUGAACCAGCCAAGUAGCGUGCAGGAUGACGGCCCUAUGGGUUGUAAACUUCUUUUACGCGGGGAUAAACUGAGUCACGUGUGGCUUAUUGCAGGUACCGCAUGAAUAAGGACCGGCUAAUUCCGUGCCAGCAGCCGCGGUAAUACGGAAGGUCCGGGCGUUAUCCGGAUUUAUUGGGUUUAAAGGGCGCGCAGGCGGCCUCUUAAGAUUGUUGUGAAAUGCCGCGGCUCAACCGUGGCACUGCAGCGGGAACUGGGAGGCUUGAGAGCGGUGGAGGUAGGCGGAAUGCGUGGUGUAGCGGUGAAAUGCUUAGAUAUCACGAAGAACUCCGAUUGCGAAGGCAGCUUACCGUGGCGUUACUGACGCUGAGGCUCGAAGGUGCGGGUAUCGAACAGGAUUAGAUACCCCUGUAGUC
This 460-nucleotide ribosomal RNA is filed under the name uncultured bacterium. RNAcentral describes it as "partial 16S ribosomal RNA". It matches the Rfam family "Bacterial small subunit ribosomal RNA", at positions 338 to 795 of the family's 1533-position model. The record is from RNAcentral.